UUAGCCGAAGCCAAAACAGAGGUAUAUUAUUGUUAAUAAUAAAACUGAAUUCAAACAAUUCCGGCUAAA
Molecule: transfer RNA, 69 nt
Filed under: Prorhinotermes inopinatus
Lineage: Eukaryota; Metazoa; Arthropoda; Insecta; Blattodea; Rhinotermitidae
Description: tRNA-Asn
Source: RNAcentral